AGAGACAGCAGUAGCCGCGGUAAUACAGAGGGUGCGAGCGUUAAUCGGAUUUACUGGGCGUAAAGCGUGCGUAGGCGGCUUCUUAAGUCGGAUGUGAAAUCCCUGAGCUUAACUUAGGAAUUGCAUUCGAUACUGGGAAGCUAGAGUAUGGGAGAGGAUGGUAGAAUUCCAGGUGUAGCGGUGAAAUGCGUAGAGAUCUGGAGGAAUACCGAUGGCGAAGGCAGCCAUCUGGCCUAAUACUGACGCUGAGGUACGAAAGCAUGGGGAGCAAACAGGAUUAGAGACCCCGGUAGUCCCUGUCUCUUAUAA
RNAcentral lists this ribosomal RNA (309 nucleotides) under uncultured bacterium. RNAcentral's name for it is "partial 16S ribosomal RNA". It matches the Rfam family "Bacterial small subunit ribosomal RNA", at positions 504 to 809 of the family's 1533-position model. The record is from RNAcentral.